GGUUGAGUAAAACUCAUUUUGGGUCUGAGAAGAUUUAAUUGAAUUUAGAUUCUCAGACCCAUAGAGAUUCUCUCAAUUGGCAAGUUCUUGGGUUUUGCUCCGAGCUGCAGUCAAAAUCAAAGUGUAUUGGUACACAGCGGCUGGGUGCAUGGUGGACAUUACUAAGCCUUUAUCAGGCCAAUGCUUUCCGAUCAUUGUAUAGAAAUGUUGUGCAAGCUCUAAGAACCUCCGACUUCUUCGACAUGCUUUUCUAGAGCAUGAAGACAGGUUCUUUAGGUUUGCUGUAUAUCUUGUCCUAGAGAAGCUAGAACUUCAGGUCUAUCAGAGAUUGUUAAAAAAAAAAAUUUAUAUUAUCCAAAAGCAGAAGGACCCAAGCAAAGCUCACCAGCUGAAGUUGGAAGUAAUUGUCAAAGCAUUGAAAUGGUCAUUGAUGUGGAUGAGGUUUCUGAUACCGUUAGCUUUCUCACUUUCUUUGUCCCUGGAGAAAAGGAGAGAUACCAGGAUCUUGAGACUUGAGUAGUCCCAUGUUUGGGGGAUUUCAGUGUUAGCAGUGGUCCGCAAAGUUCAAAUUUCUAUUUAUGCAGAGGAAUUUAAACUAUGAAGUUAGAAUUCUUCCUGAAAAUUAUUUUAUCUCAGAUUUUCCAUGCAAAGUUAUCUUUAUUUUUGUGAAAGGCUAGUGUUAUGUUUCUGCUCUGACCUAUACUCUUGUACAGAAAUAUGCAAACCUAGUGGCCAAGUGGUUGAUGAUUGGUAUCUAUCCUAUGGCCUUUUGGCAUGUACUUUGGUUGUUUUAUCAGCAGUUGGCAACUAAUUUGCUAAAACAUUGAAAACGGUAUUAGUUAGUUAAAUUAAGCUACGUCAAUAUUUACAUUAAGCCCUUUUUCUUCUUCAUUGUAAAGAUGGUAAUAUUGAAGGGACAUUGAACUUUCCUACAAGAACUCGUUUCUUGUUCAUGAGCAAAAACAAGAAGCAUUCUAAAGUCUUGAAAUUAGGGAGGUUUGAGCUUAACUGGGAUGAACUGGUGGCUGUUAAAACUCAAUUCAAGAAAGAGAUAAGUGAAGUUAAAGAAACCAGUUUGAUAUAGAUCUCUAGUGAGUUUUUGUGCGUUUCUAUGAGCUGCAAAAUAUUUAUACAUCUCUAAACU
This is a long non-coding RNA of Rosa chinensis, 1144 nucleotides long. RefSeq lists it as uncharacterized. NCBI's taxonomy places the organism in Eukaryota, Viridiplantae, Streptophyta, Magnoliopsida, Rosales, Rosaceae. The record is from RefSeq and is a predicted model, not a curated record. The transcript is spliced from 6 exons.